This 2902-nucleotide ribosomal RNA is filed under the name Escherichia coli. RNAcentral describes it as "bacterial LSU rRNA". It matches the Rfam family "Bacterial large subunit ribosomal RNA". RNAcentral also lists the same sequence under 1 other name. Lineage: Bacteria; Pseudomonadati; Pseudomonadota; Gammaproteobacteria; Enterobacterales; Enterobacteriaceae. The record is from RNAcentral.
UUAAGCGACUAAGCGUACACGGUGGAUGCCCUGGCAGUCAGAGGCGAUGAAGGACGUGCUAAUCUGCGAUAAGCGUCGGUAAGGUGAUAUGAACCGUUAUAACCGGCGAUUUCCGAAUGGGGAAACCCAGUGUGAUUCGUCACACUAUCAUUAACUGAAUCCAUAGGUUAAUGAGGCGAACCGGGGGAACUGAAACAUCUAAGUACCCCGAGGAAAAGAAAUCAACCGAGAUUCCCCCAGUAGCGGCGAGCGAACGGGGAGCAGCCCAGAGCCUGAAUCAGUGUGUGUGUUAGUGGAAGCGUCUGGAAAGGCGUGCGAUACAGGGUGACAGCCCCGUACACAAAAAUGCACAUAUUGUGAGCUCGAUGAGUAGGGCGGGACACGUGGUAUCCUGUCUGAAUAUGGGGGGACCAUCCUCCAAGGCUAAAUACUCCUGACUGACCGAUAGUGAACCAGUACCGUGAGGGAAAGGCGAAAAGAACCCCGGCGAGGGGAGUGAAAAAGAACCUGAAACCGUGUACGUACAAGCAGUGGGAGCACGCUUAGGCGUGUGACUGCGUACCUUUUGUAUAAUGGGUCAGCGACUUAUAUUCUGUAGCAAGGUUAACCGAAUAGGGGAGCCGAAGGGAAACCGAGUCUUAACUGGGCGUUAAGUUGCAGGGUAUAGACCCGAAACCCGGUGAUCUAGCCAUGGGCAGGUUGAAGGUUGGGUAACACUAACUGGAGGACCGAACCGACUAAUGUUGAAAAAUUAGCGGAUGACUUGUGGCUGGGGGUGAAAGGCCAAUCAAACCGGGAGAUAGCUGGUUCUCCCCGAAAGCUAUUUAGGUAGCGCCUCGUGAAUUCAUCUCCGGGGGUAGAGCACUGUUUCGGCAAGGGGGUCAUCCCGACUUACCAACCCGAUGCAAACUGCGAAUACCGGAGAAUGUUAUCACGGGAGACACACGGCGGGUGCUAACGUCCGUCGUGAAGAGGGAAACAACCCAGACCGCCAGCUAAGGUCCCAAAGUCAUGGUUAAGUGGGAAACGAUGUGGGAAGGCCCAGACAGCCAGGAUGUUGGCUUAGAAGCAGCCAUCAUUUAAAGAAAGCGUAAUAGCUCACUGGUCGAGUCGGCCUGCGCGGAAGAUGUAACGGGGCUAAACCAUGCACCGAAGCUGCGGCAGCGACGCUGAUGCGUUGUUGGGUAGGGGAGCGUUCUGUAAGCCUGCGAAGGUGUGCUGUGAGGCAUGCUGGAGGUAUCAGAAGUGCGAAUGCUGACAUAAGUAACGAUAAAGCGGGUGAAAAGCCCGCUCGCCGGAAGACCAAGGGUUCCUGUCCAACGUUAAUCGGGGCAGGGUGAGUCGACCCCUAAGGCGAGGCCGAAAGGCGUAGUCGAUGGGAAACAGGUUAAUAUUCCUGUACUUGGUGUUACUGCGAAGGGGGGACGGAGAAGGCUAUGUUGGCCGGGCGACGGUUGUCCCGGUUUAAGCGUGUAGGCUGGUUUUCCAGGCAAAUCCGGAAAAUCAAGGCUGAGGCGUGAUGACGAGGCACUACGGUGCUGAAGCAACAAAUGCCCUGCUUCCAGGAAAAGCCUCUAAGCAUCAGGUAACAUCAAAUCGUACCCCAAACCGACACAGGUGGUCAGGUAGAGAAUACCAAGGCGCUUGAGAGAACUCGGGUGAAGGAACUAGGCAAAAUGGUGCCGUAACUUCGGGAGAAGGCACGCUGAUAUGUAGGUGAAGUCCCUCGCGGAUGGAGCUGAAAUCAGUCGAAGAUACCAGCUGGCUGCAACUGUUUAUUAAAAACACAGCACUGUGCAAACACGAAAGUGGACGUAUACGGUGUGACGCCUGCCCGGUGCCGGAAGGUUAAUUGAUGGGGUCAGCGCAAGCGAAGCUCUUGAUCGAAGCCCCGGUAAACGGCGGCCGUAACUAUAACGGUCCUAAGGUAGCGAAAUUCCUUGUCGGGUAAGUUCCGACCUGCACGAAUGGCGUAAUGAUGGCCAGGCUGUCUCCACCCGAGACUCAGUGAAAUUGAACUCGCUGUGAAGAUGCAGUGUACCCGCGGCAAGACGGAAAGACCCCGUGAACCUUUACUAUAGCUUGACACUGAACAUUGAGCCUUGAUGUGUAGGAUAGGUGGGAGGCUUUGAAGUGUGGACGCCAGUCUGCAUGGAGCCGACCUUGAAAUACCACCCUUUAAUGUUUGAUGUUCUAACGUUGACCCGUAAUCCGGGUUGCGGACAGUGUCUGGUGGGUAGUUUGACUGGGGCGGUCUCCUCCUAAAGAGUAACGGAGGAGCACGAAGGUUGGCUAAUCCUGGUCGGACAUCAGGAGGUUAGUGCAAUGGCAUAAGCCAGCUUGACUGCGAGCGUGACGGCGCGAGCAGGUGCGAAAGCAGGUCAUAGUGAUCCGGUGGUUCUGAAUGGAAGGGCCAUCGCUCAACGGAUAAAAGGUACUCCGGGGAUAACAGGCUGAUACCGCCCAAGAGUUCAUAUCGACGGCGGUGUUUGGCACCUCGAUGUCGGCUCAUCACAUCCUGGGGCUGAAGUAGGUCCCAAGGGUAUGGCUGUUCGCCAUUUAAAGUGGUACGCGAGCUGGGUUUAGAACGUCGUGAGACAGUUCGGUCCCUAUCUGCCGUGGGCGCUGGAGAACUGAGGGGGGCUGCUCCUAGUACGAGAGGACCGGAGUGGACGCAUCACUGGUGUUCGGGUUGUCAUGCCAAUGGCACUGCCCGGUAGCUAAAUGCGGAAGAGAUAAGUGCUGAAAGCAUCUAAGCACGAAACUUGCCCCGAGAUGAGUUCUCCCUGACUCCUUGAGAGUCCUGAAGGAACGUUGAAGACGACGACGUUGAUAGGCCGGGUGUGUAAGCGCAGCGAUGCGUUGAGCUAACCGGUACUAAUGAACCGUGAGGCUUAACCUU